GGGAGGCCGCUUGGACUGAGGAGGCUGUGGGGCUUCGAGCCGCUCUGGGUUCUCAGAGGCUUCUGGAUGACUCUAGCAUCUUGGAGGGCAGUGACAAGCUGCAAAGCACUGUCAGGCGCCUCAGUGCUCCAGGCUGACUCCUGCACCCGGAAGGUUCUCCGCCCCUGAGAUCACUCACUGCUAAGGACGGGAGGAGCCUGCUCAGAAGACACGGUCUGCACUCCGCUGAGGGGUUGGAGGUGCAGCAAGAAAAUGAAAAAAGAAAAAAGAAAGCAAGAAUACCAGUAGAAAUAGUGCAUUUCCAGAACUGCUGAUGGGAGGUGGCAGGUCCCAUGGUUUUGACCCAUUUGAUACCCAAAAGGCUGCAGAUCAUAUGAAAAAUGUACAGCUUUGGUUAGCAAAUAAUGAAAAACCCACUGUGCACAGAAGCGAUAGAUUCCCGUCGUUGGCGGAAUAAAUUUACGUGCUGUUUGAAGAGACAAAACCACGACUCCUUCCAGCCACACGGUGGUGGCGCCGAGGUCACAGAGUCCUCCAUCCUCACGGCUUCUAACCAGGUUGGAAGUGACAUCCAAACCCUCGGCCCAUCCCCCAUCACCGAUCUGCUCCCAGACAAAGGGCCCACCCAGAGCAGCCUUUCGGGCCUCCUGGUCCCCAGCGCACCUUCAGAACAGGUGGGCCCUCGCUGGAGCUUGCUGCAAGGACUUCGGACCUCAUGCCAAGCCUCUCCCCUGCCCUCGCUGCCACAAGACACCCCUUGGUCUCAGGUCCCAGGGCUGGUGACAAAGAGAUCUUUGCGGUCUUACAAAAUAAACUGGGAAUCUACAAAAGGAAAAGAAAGCAUACAAAAUGUAUCUCUUUCUUCCAAAAUACAAGCUUUCAGUCCGACGUUUUGGUGGAGCCUGAAAGUGUUUCCAAGGGAGAUAUAGGUUGAGAUAAUUUAUAGGUUUGUCCUAUUCUUUCAUAAAAAUACUCUUGUUUGGUAAUAAACUUUGUCUUCUACAGUAAGAGAAAUAAUACUGUGUUAUCAAAAGCAAGAAGGCUUUACGAUUCAAGUGGGAUCGAAGCCCCCAGGCCCUGGGGCCCUCCGUGGCAGCUCUCCCACCCCAGACCCCCAGGGAGCUGUCGGACACCAGCUCGGCAAAAGCAACACUGUCUCAACAGUGCUUUUUUAUCUUCUUAUUUUAUAAAACGGCUUACCUGAGAGAGGCAUGUAUUAUUCAGUGCAAGAGGGAACAUCAAUCAGAUUAAGGAGUCAAUGGGAACUAUGUGGAUUAGAUUUGCUGCUCUGUCGUCUGCCUUUCUCGGGCCAGCAAAGUGCCAAGUAUGAACACAGUGAGGGAGCUGAGGACCUUGGCACAGACUCCAGUUAGGGCUAGGGCGAGAGCUAAAAGUCAGCUUCUGUCCCGGGCACCGUGGGUGCGUCAGGGGGCAGGGGAAGGAUGGGGAAGGGGCUGGGAGGCUGAAGGGUCGAAGGCAUAAGCAUCUGGGGUGUGCUCCGCCCUCUCUAGCUAGGGCAGAGGAUGGCUUGUGGUCCUGAACGGACAGCUCCCACCUUGCCACGAGGCGGCGGUGGUCUGGGGUCCGUGUCCGCAGGGGCAGGGGCUGGUGGCAGGUGCCAGCAGGAGCGCACUGGGCACAGGCGCUCUGGGCCCAGCCAAGAAUGGCUCCCAGGUGGCUGGAGUGAGGGUGGGGCUCGACCCAGUCUGGAAAGGUGAUUCCAAGCUCUCGUUCUCCCAACCACGGUAUCACUGGGGCUUGUUCUCAACCUACAUGUUAGAGUCGCUUCUUGGCGUGUUUGGGGUGGGGGGAGAGGGACACUGGCCUCUCUCAGCCCCCUCCAACAACCCUGGCUUACUUACCCAGACAUUUUCGGUAGCUACAUGGGUGGUCACAGAAUACUGGGUGGCACUCAGCACAUGACACAGAACUGGAAAAGUCCAUGCAGGCAGGGGAACACACGUUGGACCGAGGGAGCAAGGAACACGCCACCGCAAGGAACAUGCAAACGGAGAAGGUCCUUGCAGAUCCAAGGAUGCCACAACCCGACGGCGCUGAGGAAGCACAAUUAUCUAAGAAAAAGCCACAGUUGAACAAUGACACGCAGCAUGGCGCCACAUCUACACCCUCUCUGAAAGAGUGAUGCACUGCAGAGCAGCGACCGUACCGUGCAGACGCCCACGAGUACAGCGACACAGACACCGACACAGACACACACACAGAUGCAUUAGGGUUCUGACACGCCGCAGACCUGCACUGGAGGAGGCAGGUGCCCCGGAAGGAGCAGCAGG
Molecule: long non-coding RNA, 2291 nt
Filed under: Heterocephalus glaber (naked mole-rat)
Lineage: Eukaryota; Metazoa; Chordata; Mammalia; Rodentia; Bathyergidae
Description: lncRNA (ENSHGLG00100033319.1)
Source: RNAcentral